Non-coding RNA from Taeniopygia guttata (zebra finch), 2461 nucleotides. Lineage: Eukaryota; Metazoa; Chordata; Aves; Passeriformes; Estrildidae. The record is from RefSeq and is a predicted model, not a curated record.
UUUGGGUUUUGUACCAUUUCCUAAUGGCUUCCCUUUGUGUAAUCUCACGUGUCAGAGAUCUGUACAACCUUCUCUCACAACAUGGAAGACUGGCACAGCUACAUUCCUGCAACAUUUAGCUUCUGACUUGUAGAGAAUCCUGAAGUCCAUUCAGAGACCAAAGGGAGCGUGCUGUUGCUGGAAAAAGAGAGGAGGUUCAAAGACAAGGGGCUUCAUGAUGCCGUGAUUCUGUAUGAACAUGAAGAGAGACAAGAAUUCACACCAUUUAGAAGAGGCAGCAAGGAUUCUCCCUCCUGCAGCAGCUCUUCAGCCGCUGGAGUUUCUGAGCCUGUCCCAAGAAAGGAUUCCUGAUGGGACAUUUCCUGUUCACAUUGCUGUCUUUCUCAUGAGAAUCCACUCUCAGACCCCAUGCCUCCUUGUGGACUCUGACAGAUGGUGGCAUCCAACUGGACCCUGACUGAGCAAAAGAAGAAGUUCAGUGCCUGAUCCGUAAAAUCAGCCUGUGACCAUCUUGCACAGGAGCUGAUGUCCACAAGAAGUAGCUAAUGUGUGAACCCUGCACCAAAGGAAGGUGCAGACCAAAGUGAGACAGCUACUUUUUUGCCAGAAAGGCAAGUACAUUUAAUGAGCUGAGUUCACUCCUGGGUCACACCAGCGCAGAAGGACAAGACCUCCAUUGCUGGAAAGACCACCCAGAGAGGAGGAAGCUGCACUUGCCCAGGAAGGAGGCACUUACUUUCAGGAUGAAGGUCUGGCACAGCAUCUUCCGUCAUUAGUGGGAGCCCUUCCUCUGACUUACAGAAACAGAGGUGGUGUCUUCAUUUGUGAUUUUUAGUUUUUGAAUUUUCUGAAGUGCAUUGUCCAUCUCAGUCUUCAGACACCUUCCAAGUACCACUUUGUCUACAAAGGCUGUGCUAAAGCAAAAGUGUUUGAUUCCUGGUACUGUGUAUAUCUGCUUGAUUGGGCAGUAAUUCUGGAUUCCAGACAGGUCAAUUCUAAAAGUGGCAUCACUCCACCUUGGUCGGUAUCUUUUGCUGGGAUUAUUCCAAACAAGCUUGACCUGUUGAAAUGUAAUGUUUCUCAUACUAGUUUCCCAAACUAGUGAGGCUGUUGCUAUUUCAGGUGUGCACAGUUUGUACUUUGAAUGUUUGAUAAGCUUAAAACAUGAAAUAUAUAAUGCGGUUUGAACUUUCUAGUGUUAUUUCAUCACCAAAAAAGCAAAGUCUUGAGGCUCAGCAAUUGCCUUUGUCAGAAUGUAAAUUCCAGCAUGUAAUACCCAGGCUGUAUGUUUCAGGAAAUCAGUAUUAACCUAUUAGUAUGCAGUUUUCCUUGGAGAAGAGCCAUCUUCACACUGAGCCUGUAUUCCUGCUUCAAACCUUCCUGUCACUGUUCCGUAUCCACGACCCAGCCUAAGGCUGCCUUUGACGGUUCUCCAGCCAUUUCCUGCAUACUGCACUAGCACUAAUUGAAAAUUUGGGUGGCCUUGCUUAUUUAUUUUCCUGGAAUGUAGUGGGUUAUAUUUUCAUGGCACUUUCUCAGCAGUGCAACGUUUCAAUUUCAAAACCACUGCAAUAUGAGGAAAAGUAACCCCCAAAAUUAAAAAAAUAACAAUAAAAAGCAGCAUAUCUUUGAUUAAUUUUUACAGUAGUUCUUUUGUAAAAAUAUAUAAUGGAAAAAGAAUUCAAUGUUGCUUUUGUUUCUCAAGAUCAGAGGGAAGAGAAGCAAUUUAAAUACAUGUACAAGAUGGUCACAUGCAGACACAAUGAGGCAUGAAACUUUAAAUGUACAGAUGCCAUGGAAAUGAAAAGAUAAUAUAAAGUGUGUUCUUUGCAAGUCUUGCAGAGUUCAAUAGCUACAUAAUGUGUGUGGAGGGAAAGAGAAACAGCCCCCCUGCCCUCUCUAGGAAAAUUCCAACUAUGUCUGGAUAUGCCAUUGGCACUAGCGUUGUGCUUUGCCUCCCCAGAUUUCUGCAGGAAUGUCAUUCCACAGCAGACAGGAUUAGUAUGUCACUGUUACCUCCUUUCUUGGAGAUGAACAUGCUUGGGCAUGAGUACCUGUUGCAAAUUUCAAGUUUUGAUCAAAAAAAAUUCACUUAUCCCUUGACAGUAUUUCAAGUCUUCAGAAUUCUUUUCUCUUCAUGCCUAAUUGUUUUGGUUUAUGGUGAUUUUUACUGUGUGUGCAAAAAUUAAAGGUUGGCAUGAUCCUGUUUGUUUUUUUUUUUCCUGAUACAUUAAGUGCAACUAUUGAAGUCUUUUGGGAAUUAUGUUUUGUUCCCAGAAUUCAGGAAUAAGGAAAUGUUUAACAAUAAAUAUACAAUGAAGGUGCUGAUCUGUAUCUGAGAAAUUAUUUGGAGGAAGAGUGAAUUGAAGAUGGAGUCUGUUUUUACCAACAGGCACACAUCUUUAGGAUUACGCAAUAUUUAAAUUUAUUCAUGUUCUAGAAUGGAGAUAAAAGUGAAUGA